RNAcentral lists this non-coding RNA (112 nucleotides) under Trichomonas vaginalis G3. Its description in RNAcentral is "Eukaryotic small subunit ribosomal RNA". It matches the Rfam family "Eukaryotic small subunit ribosomal RNA", at positions 1 to 122 of the family's 1831-position model. The record is from Rfam by way of RNAcentral. Lineage: Eukaryota; Parabasalia; Trichomonadida; Trichomonadidae.
UACUUGGUUGAUCCUGCCAAGGAAGCACACUUAGGUCAUAGAUUAAGCCAUGCAAGUGUUAGUUCAGGUAACGAAACUGCGAAUAGCUCAUUAAUACGCUCAGAAUCUAUUU